GUAAGAUUUUUAUUUUUUCUAUUAAAGUUGAUUUAGAAUAUUCUGUCAAUUUCUGCUGUACAGCAAAGAGACCCAUUCAUAUACAUAUAUACAUAUACACACAUUAUUUUUCUCACAUUAUCCUCCAGCAUGUUCCAUCACAAGUGACAAGGUAUAGUUCCCUGCGCUAUGCAGCAGGAUCUCACUCAAGGUGCUCCAUCUUUCCAUUCCCAGCACCAGCACAGAGGCUGGCACAGAAUAGACAUUCGUAGUUUACUGAGUGAAUAAGGAAAAUCAUUUGUGUCCGAGAGACUCCCGCACAAAGGGGAACUGUGUUAUUCGUCUUUGCAUCUCACUGCCUAGCACAGUGCCUGCCCAGGACAGAAUCUCCAGUGCGUAGUAGAUUGGGAAGGUUGUCAAAAUGAACGAAGACAAUGGAGGGCAGUAGGAUGUGCAGAACAGAGGCCGCCUGCCCAUCUAAAGAGGAGAAUGGCCCUCAGCUCCUGCCCACUGUUGGCACCUAAGAACCCAAGCCUACUGUGGCUAGAUUGUCUGUUUUGUCAAGAGAACAGAGAAGCUGUGAUGCUCACAUAAAAUUUCUCUGUACCAAACAACUUAUCUGUACCCAAAUCCCAUCUACUGGUCUGCUCCUUGCCUCAAUAGAUGCGCCACAACAGGCCAGUGGCUAAGAGACAAGCAUCCCAGGUUUACUCCCCUUCAGUGUGAACUGGGACUUGGUCGUGGGAGCCCCCGCAUUGUGUCUGCAUUUCCACAGGGUUCGCCCUGGCUUCAGAAGCAGGGACUCUAAGGGGCUCGCAUCCCUCUUCAUCUGUCUCAAGGUCUAAGUGGUUCCAAAUCACUGCUCUAAUCCAGGUUCUACCUGGGUUUCUAUUCCCUUAAGACCAGCUACAGCUUUAUAAACUAGCAAGCUGUGUGUCAAAGCUGGUUCCCAGAGUUAAGCACACAUUUGCUUGUGGCAUAGGUCUUCUUUAUCCAUUUGUGGAGCCGUCCUUCCACUGGCUGGUAUCUUUCUCUCUACCAACCAACAGGCUUGUUUGUGCGUAGUGAGACCAAUGGGAAGAUGAGGGCGUGGAUUGACUGUAGGCAAACUGAUGCCUCAAAGGCACCCCCCUGUGCUCUGAGAUAUAAAAUAUCUCUCUUGUUGAAGCACUGAGCAGACCUCUUUCUCUCACCAGCAAUCCCAAGGAAUCAGAAGCCAUUGAUGUGUGUCCUCAAUUUAAAUUGUUUUGUCACUGUGCAUUACGAUGUAAUUAUCUGCAUUAAAUUCAUUAACCAUUGUACCACCUAAUUAUCCUAUGUUUGCAGAGAUUUGAGAAUUCAUGGCAUUUCUCUUCCUGAGCAAAAUCAUUUUGUACAGGCCACACUUCUGUCUCUGUGCCUGGCCAAAGCUUCGAGGUGGCAAGUAUGCAGAGUCACAGAAGAACAGCCUGGGAAGCUCAGGAAUCGACUCGGUCUGGACAGGGGAGAAACAAUGAAAGAAGGGCAGCCUGGAGCCCAGAGACCAGAGGGUGGCCUGCUCUUGCCUUCAGCUCAGACCCAGGCUCCCGUCUCCUUCUGCCUGAACUUAUGACAUGGCUUAAGCCUGGCUACCUCCCAGCAGCCCCCAGUGCUACUUUCUUUUCUUUUCUUUUCUUUUCUUUUUUCCUGUCUAUUGUCUUUUUAGCGGCAUAUGGAGGUUCCCAGGCUAGGGGCAAAUCAGAGCUGUAGCUGCCGGCCUACACCAGAGCCACAGCAACGCCAGAUCCGAGCCACAUCUGCGACCUACACACAGCUCACGGCAACACAGGAUCCUUAACCCAGUGAGCAAGGCCAGGGAUCGAACCUGGGUCCUCAUGAAUACUAGUCAGGUUCGUUAACCACUGAGCCACGAGGGAAACCCCCUCUUAGAAUUUCUAAUCCCCCCUUGAUCCUUCUCAGCCUGUAGAUGGAAAACAUGUGACUUGGAGACUGAUUUUGGAAUAAUUUCACCAACUUCAGCAAGUCAUUUCACCUUUUCAAGACUCCAUUUCCUUAUUCACAAAAUACUGCACACAGUUACUGGUAGGGAUUAAACAUUUUGUAUUCAUUCUCAGCAUAGAGUAAGUGCUUAUGUUAUUUUUCUAGGGACUGCUGUAACAAAAUAUCACAAAGUGGCUUGAACAACAGAAAUUAGUUUUCUCACAGUUCUGGAGGUUCCAAGUCCAAGAUCAAGAUACCAACAGGGUUGGUUUCUGGGGAGCCCUCUCUCUCUGAACUCUAAAUGGCCAUUUUCUCAGUGUGUCCUCCUGUGGUCUGUGUCUCUGUGUGCACAAAUCCCUAAUAGAUUUUCCUCUUCUCAUAAGGACACCAGUCCUAUUGGAUGAAGUCCCACCCUUAUGACUGAUUUAACCUUAAUUGCCUCCCUAAAGGGCAAAUCUCCAAAUACAUCAAGUGCAUCAGGUGUUUGAGCUUCUAUAUAUGAAUUUUAGGGGACAUAAUUCAAGCCAUCACAGUGCUCAAUAUAAGUCUGGUCAUAUCUUUCUUCUCUUUUCUUCUAAUUGUAAAGGCAAUGAAAGAAUAAAAUGGAGGGAUAUUUUACAAUCCAUAAGCAUUAGGGUGUUAACCAAGAAUGUGCUAUGGGUGCCCAGUUGUGUCUUUAUGAAGUCUACAGUAUUUCAUGUUAGAACUGAAGACCUACAAGGAGACCUUCACAUGAGCCCAUCCUGCAGUAAACACACUAAAAAACAGAGAGGAAAAGGGAAAUCUGGACAUGGAAAACUACUGGGAAAAUCCUGGAUGCCCAGCCACCCAUUUAAAAAAGGUCAUGGAUAACAGUAAGGAUGUCGAAGAUACAUUAACAAUAGAUCAGGAGAAAAUGGAAUUGAUCAUUGAAAAUUAAUUUAAUUAAAUUUGUGGUUCACAAAAAACUACAAAUAACUACAACUAAAAAAAGAAAAGUUAGAAAAAAUAAAGUAGUAUCAAAACCCAGAUUUUAACAAUGAAGAAAGGAAUGAGAAAGGAGGACAAAAGAAAAGAGUAAAAACCUGUAAAAUCGUUCAUGGGCUACAAAGGAAAGUUAAAGGUUGAACUUGCCUAGAAAGUUUAGCAAUGACGAUUGUAGUCAGAAGAAGUGUUCAUAGCAUGUCUCAUUAAUUGACCAUAAAUUAGCUUUUAAAAAUCAGAGAGUUCCCUUUUAAAAUUCUUUAAGACAGAAAAUGACAUCUAUUAUAACCAUGUAUCAAAACAUCCAUCAAAAAUCCAAAGAGAAGACAGAGGACAAGUACACGUAAAGUGGGAUGACAGGUGACAAACACAGCAUGAUGACAA
Molecule: long non-coding RNA, 3285 nt
Filed under: Sus scrofa (pig)
Lineage: Eukaryota; Metazoa; Chordata; Mammalia; Artiodactyla; Suidae
Description: lncRNA (ENSSSCG00000062982.1)
Source: RNAcentral